CUGUCAUUGGCUGCACUUAUCUAUAUAUCAUCCUUCCACACUGCAGCCUCCUUAGACAGUUGUCCAGAUCUAAUUAACUGUGUGUCCCCAAACAUCUAAUACAGUAGGUCACACGUUGGCUGAUUAAUGUUUGUUGGAUGAAUAAACCUGAAGUUGGCCUUAUAUUACUUUGCUGCAAAUAAGCAAAGUUAAUCUUUUAUUACAAAUAUGCUGAAGUAUCCAUAAUAUGCCUAAAAACUGACUAUAUUGUAACAUCCUUGAUAUAGGGAUGACCUAUCUUGUUGAAUGUCAUUCCUAGUAGAAUAAUGGACAAAUGGUAGGUGUGAAUUAAAUAUUUGUCAAUGAGACAAUGCACAUCUUUCAUUCUACCCUUAUAAGAUAAGCAAACUCUGGGUGCUGAGCAUAAGUCUAGUUUUACCUUUUAUGACACUCCCCAGAAUGGGCAACAAUUUUUUUUUUUAAUCCUGAAGCUCUGACAUAUGUUUGGUUUUCCAGACUCACUAGUUCAGACUGACAGACACGUUAUCUUUCCUGCUUAAGCACUUUCCUUAAUAGGUGGCGUCUGGUGCCCUUAAACAUAAAUGUACUCCCACGUGGGAGAGUGGCUGUUUUUCAGCUGUAGUGAUGGGCUGGGCAGUGCUCUGUCAGAUCAAUUAUGUAGAAGACCCAUCUUUUCUAAGGUUCCCUCGAUUUUUUUUUUCUCCUGACAGUUCACCUUGUGCCCAACCUUCUGUCUCCCAGAAGUCAGACCUGCAGACAAUUGCAUGCCAGUGGCUGUCUUCCCUCCUGAGAACAUGACACAAAGGAACACUUCCCUGUCAAACUCUUCAUUAUCCUUCUGAUGAAUCUUCCCUGAUUUCUAGAAUGGGCUGAAACAUGGCAGGAGACAGAUACCUUCCGCGUAUUUUCACUAACAUGUCAUGAGGAAAACCAGCACUCCUCAGUUGCUUUUAAAUAGAUGAGGUGGUAUCUCAGGGUGAGACCAAUUUUCUUCUAGUUUGCCUCAUUUUCUAUUUUUUUCCCCUGAAGUCACUGCUGCUGUGACCACAGGGAAUAGGGUAAACUGUCCAGGGUGGUUGAGGGAGGCCAGGAGUCUCUGCAGGCGAGGUUUCUCCUGUCUGGGCCACCAUGAACAACGUGCAGGGGAGCUGUUUGGCUUCCAAGCACAUAUUGUUGGUGAAACUUCAUAAACCCCUCCUGGGGUGUGCAGAGGAGAUGACGGCAUAGAUUUCGGUUAUUUCAGUCAAGUUUUCAUAGUGUAACUUGGCAGAAGCCAGCCCAGGCAUAAGGAGAGCAGCUGGCAGGGGGCACCGUUGGGGGUAUCCAAAAAGUGGUAACUCUUGUCAUAUUACAGAAGUGCAAGGUGGCAAAGGAGGUCAGCACACUCUCCAAAUAUAUUCAGGAUGUGGCCACUUCUUUACUUUUCUUGCUUACACCAACUGAGCCGACAUGACUGCUCCAACUGGACUCCUGCAAUAGACUCUCCUCUGUCUCCGUGUCCUCUCUUUAAUUUUUUUUUAAAUUAGCAUGUGUUAUUUAUAUGUUCAUGGGGUUCUGUGUGAUAUUUCCAUACAUGCAUAUGCAUGCACUGAUUACAUCAAAUCCUCUUUUUCUAGCAUUCUUCUUGUACCCUUCCUAAUACCUGAUACUUUCGUCUACUUUCAAGUCUUCUUCUUCUUCUUUUAGCUUCUAUAUGUGAGACAGAACAUGAAGUGUCUGUGUUUCUGUAUCCAGCUUAUUUCACUUAACAUAAUAUCUUCUAAUUCCAUCCAUUUUUCUGCAAAUGGCAGGAUUUCAUUCUUUUUUGUGAAUACUCCUCUAUGGUGUGCAUAUAUAUAUAUAUAUAUAUAUAUAUAUAUAUAUAUAUAUAAACAUGAUAUAUAUAUCAUGUUUUCUUCAUCUAUUCAUCUGUUGAUGAACCCUAAGCCUGUUUCCAUGUCUUUGCUAUUGUAAAUAGUGCCACAGUAAACAUAGGUGUACAGGUAUCUCUUUGAUAUGAUAAUUAAUUUCCUUUGGUUAUAUACCCAGAAAUUAGAUAGUUAGAGCAUAUGGUAGUUCUAUUUUUAGUUUUUUUUUUUAAGAAACCUCCAUACUCUUGUCCUUCAGGACUGUACUAAUUUAUAUUCUAACCAACAGAAUAUAAGAAUUCCCCUUCCUCAACAUCCUUACCAGCUUUGCUAUUUUUUGUUUUUGAUGAUAAAAAUUCUACCUGGGUGAAAUGUCAUCUUAUGGCACUUUUGAUUUACAUUUCCCUAAUGGCUAAAGAUAUGCAGCAUUUUUUAAAAAAUCACAUACCCCUGUAUCCUCUCUUAUCCCCACCAAACAGCAGGUACCCUUGUGUUUUUAAAAUGAAAAUUGUUUAAAAUCCUUAAAAGCCUCCUAUGAAUUCCUCUCUCAAUUAGAAUAAAACUUAGCUUCUUCUGGUGGACUGCCAGGCCCAGGGACCUUGCUACUCUUCCUUCCAGACCUCAUCUUCUAUCCUCCUCCCCAGGACAUUGUGAUCAUGGUGGCCUUCCCCAUCAUGUGGAGGCACCAGGUUUCCUCUUUUUUUAAAAAAAGAGGAUAUUUAUUUUUUAGUUUCAG
This 2583-nucleotide long non-coding RNA is filed under the name Marmota monax (woodchuck). Lineage: Eukaryota; Metazoa; Chordata; Mammalia; Rodentia; Sciuridae. The record is from RNAcentral.